This 544-nucleotide ribosomal RNA is filed under the name Salarias fasciatus (jewelled blenny). RNAcentral describes it as "partial 16S large subunit ribosomal RNA". It matches the Rfam family "Bacterial large subunit ribosomal RNA", at positions 1846 to 2586 of the family's 2925-position model. The record is from RNAcentral. Lineage: Eukaryota; Metazoa; Chordata; Actinopteri; Blenniiformes; Blenniidae.
UAGGAGGUCCCGCCUGCCCUGUGAUCUAGAAUUUAACGGCCGCGGUAUUUUGACCGUGCAAAGGUAGCGCAAUCACUUGUCUUUUAAAUGAAGACCUGUAUGAAUGGCAUAACGAGGGCUUGACUGUCUCCCCCUCCCAGUCAGUGAAAUUGAUCUUUCCGUGCAGAAGCGGGAAUACACACAUAAGACGAGAAGACCCUGUGGAGCUUUAGACAGCAGACUGCCCUUACACAUAAGCUCUUAAUUAACAAGCUAAAGCCAUAAGGACCCCGUUUCAUGUCUUCGGUUGGGGCGACCGCGGGGAAAUAAAAAACCCCCAUGUGGAACAUCAUCACCUGUUUUUGAACGAAGAGCGACAACUCAAAGUACCAGAACAUCUGACCUAAUCUGAUCCGGCUCACUGCCGAUUAACGAAACCAGUUACCCCAGGGAUAACAGCGCAAUCCUCUCCCAGAGUCCAUAUCGACAAGAGGGUUUACGACCUCGAUGUUGGAUCAGGACAUCCUAAUGGUGCAGCCGCUAUUAAGGGUUCGUUUGUUCAACG